AGAGUUUGAUCCUGGCUCAGGAUGAACGCUGGCUGUAUGCCUAACACAUGCAAGUCGUACGAAAGUUUUUAACUUUAGUGGCGGACGGGUGAGUAACACGUGAGAAUUUGCCUUUAGGAGGGGGACAACAAUUGGAAACGAAUGCUAAUACCCCAUAUGCUUUCGAGUGAAAUGGAUUUAUAUUUAUCCGCCUAGAGAGAAGCUCGCGGCUGAUUAGCUUGUUGGUAAGGUAAGAGCUUACCAAGGCGACGAUCAGUAUCUGGUUUGAGAGGACGACCAGACACACUGGAACUGAGACACGGUCCAGACUCCUACGGGAGGCAGUAGUGGGGAAUUUUCCGCAAUGGGCGAAAGCCUGACGGAGCAAUACAGCGUGAGGGAAGACUGCCUAUGGGUUGUAAACCUCUUUUUUCAGGGAGGAAUAAAUGACGUGUACCUGAAGAAUAAGCAUCGGCUAACUCCGUGCCAGCAGCCGCGGUAAGACGGAGGAUGCAAGUGUUAUCCGGAAUCACUGGGCGUAAAGCGUCUGUAGGUGGUUUAAUAAGUCAACUGUUAAAUCUUGAGGCUCAACUUCAAAAUCGCAGUCGAAACUAUUAGACUAGAGUAUAGUAGAGGUAAAGGGAAUUUCCAGUGGAGCGGUGAAAUGCGUAGAUAUUGGAAAGAACACCGAUGGCGAAAGCACUUUACUGGGCUAUUACUAACACUCAGAGACGAAAGCUAGGGUAGCAAAUGGGAUUAGAUACCCCAGUAGUCCUAGCCGUAAACUAUGGAUACUAGAUGU
Molecule: ribosomal RNA, 781 nt
Filed under: uncultured bacterium
Lineage: Bacteria
Description: bacterial SSU rRNA
Rfam family: Bacterial small subunit ribosomal RNA
Source: RNAcentral